UACGGAGGGUGCAAGCGUUGUCCGGAUUUAUUGGGUUUAAAGGGUGCGUAGGUGGCCCGUUAAGUCCGGGGUGAAAGCCCGUUGCUCAACAACGGAACUGCCCUGGAUACUGGCGGGCUUGAGAGUAGUGGAGGGCGGCGGAAUAGAAGCUGUAGCGGUGAAAUGCAUAGAUAGCUUCUAGAACCCCGAUUGCGAAGGCAGCUGCCUACGCUACAUCUGACACUGAGGCACGAAAGCGUGGGGAGCGAACAGG
This 253-nucleotide ribosomal RNA is filed under the name uncultured bacterium. Its description in RNAcentral is "partial 16S ribosomal RNA". It matches the Rfam family "Bacterial small subunit ribosomal RNA", at positions 524 to 776 of the family's 1533-position model. The record is from RNAcentral.